UACGAAAGGGGCUAGCGUUGUUCGGAAUUACUGGGCGUAAAGCGCACGUAGGCGGCCUUGUAAGAUGGGGGUGAAAUCCCCGGGCUCAACCCGGGAACUGCCUUCAUGACUGCAAAGCUAGAGGAUGCGAGAGGUUAGCGGAAUUCCGAGUGUAGAGGUGAAAUUCGUAGAUAUUCGGAAGAACACCAGUGGCGAAGGCGGCUAACUGGCGCAUUUCUGACGCUGAGGUGAGAAAGCGUGGGGAGCAAAAGGG
RNAcentral lists this ribosomal RNA (253 nucleotides) under uncultured bacterium. RNAcentral describes it as "partial 16S ribosomal RNA". It matches the Rfam family "Bacterial small subunit ribosomal RNA", at positions 524 to 776 of the family's 1533-position model. The record is from RNAcentral.